RNAcentral lists this long non-coding RNA (591 nucleotides) under Helianthus annuus (common sunflower). RNAcentral describes it as "sRNA HanXRQr2_Chr15g0679401". Lineage: Eukaryota; Viridiplantae; Streptophyta; Magnoliopsida; Asterales; Asteraceae. The record is from RNAcentral.
GACCUAUGAAUAUACAUACGCCCAACACAUUUCAUUUUUUUAAUUACGUAUAAUACCUCGUAACUUUAUUUAACUAAAUACCCACACGCACACAUGAACACCAUAUUUAUCGUCGGUUCCUUGACCUUAAGCCGUUGCAAUCGGGCCCGAGUUAACCCUAUCUUCCACGGUCUUCAUAGCUUCAAACCGAGGCUCCUUUGCCUGAAACUUGACCGCGGUAUAGAGCUUCAUGUAGUCCUCAAACACGAAUUUGGGGUAAAUGUUGCUCUUCUCUUCUUCCUUGUUUACUAGUUGUGGCGCAGGAUAGAUGACCGCAUCACUUCCAGGGUUGUAAAACGAUGCUAUCGACAUGCGGGUCCCAUCUGGCUGAGCAAUCACUCUAUGCAUCACACUUUUGUACCUUCCAUUAGUGAUCACCUGAUCUGAUCACCUAGAUUAAUGACAAUGGAAUGGUGCAUCGGCGGUACAUCAAUCCACUUGUCGUCUUUAAGGAGCUGGAGUCCACUGACCUUAUCAUCCUGAAAGAGCAAGAUGACGCCACCCGCAUCGGUGUGGGCCCGGAGACCCUUGAUAAGGUCGGGCUUAGGGCAU